Molecule: non-coding RNA, 4612 nt
Organism: Callithrix jacchus (white-tufted-ear marmoset)
Lineage: Eukaryota; Metazoa; Chordata; Mammalia; Primates; Cebidae
Source: RefSeq, a predicted model, not a curated record
CAGGGCCAGUGAUUUGGGGAUGAGGAGGGGAAAAGAGGGUAUCCCAAGCAGGCUGGACUAUAUGAUAAAGAGCCGGGAAGUUCAUCCUAGGCACAGUGAAGAAAUGAACAUAUCAGAAAUGGCAGCUGAACAACAGCAGCCAUUUGUGACAUCACGGAGUGAAAUGGGACAUUAUUCUCUGAGCCAGUUUCUUUAGCUCAAACCCACAGAAGAAAAUGCAGACACCAGCACCCUGAACAGCCUCAAGUGCUUCACUGAGAUAAAAGCCCACAGAGCACCCAGACUCAGGACCUCUGAUGAUGCACAGCAGCUGAGAGGCUAACCUGAGAUGUGCUGCUGUGGAUAAAAGCCCUGAAAUGCUUCCUCCCCCUCAUCUUUCCUGUCAUCUACUGCAGCCAUUCACACUGACAGGACAACCUCAUGACAGAGCUUUCUAGAGCCCAGAUCCUCCGAGAGCACCUCCUCUCUGCCACGCUCCGUGCUAGGCCCUUGAACUGACAUUCCAGAGACCAAGGCCAAAUGUUGAAAAGCUGCUCCCCAAGUCCCUCGGAACCUCUCUGCAUUCCCUGAGCUGUGUCACGGCUCAGACUGUGACAGAGCAUCUCCCAGAGCCCCAUGCAGUGAUUCACAGAAGCGGUGGGUGUCUAGAGAAGCCAGCAGGAAUCUAAAAAGACCUAAGGCCACAUGGGGUUGUCAGAGGUGUGUUGAGGCAGACGAAGCUCUGGGGUCCCUUUCGGGAGCUGUCUCAACUGUGGUGUCUUCAGUCAAAAGUGGGAUGACAUCACCACAUCUUAAAUGUGGGGAGAUUAAAUAAGAUGAUUGGUAUAAAGCCUAGCACAUCAUGGGUGCCCAAUGCAUGUUGGUUCUCUCCUCAUCUCCUUUUUUCUCCCAAAUCAUAGACUUACUAUGUCAGUAUCAGCACAGAUCUAGAACAAUGAACAAAGUACAAAGAACAACAAGAACCCAUUAAGUGUUUUUCACCUUGAAUAAUGUGGGUGGAGGACAAGGGAGACUGACAUAUUACUGAAGAGAAAUAAGAUGAAUGGACACUAAACGUCACUUAUCUGGACUGACAGUAGUAGCCCAUUCACACAUUUCUCCAAAAAGGACUAGUUGUAUUAGAUGCACAGCUCUUCCUUCUAUCCCCUUUUCAAAAGAAAAGAAGAAAGGCUUAACAAUUCUAGAUGGAGGCGAUCAAAAUCUGCCUUUACUGCUUAUCUUGAUGACUUCGUGCAUAUUCCUCAUCGUCCAAUGAAUAUUAUUUUAUACAGAUGUGAACAUCUGGCUCCAACUAUCAAAACAAGCCUGCUGCCACUUGGGAGUUAAAACAUGCAGGCUCUGGGCUUUCUGCAGAAAGGACUUUUUAAAAAUUGUAAGAUGCUUCCAUGAGGCAGGGCUGUGCGUGCCUGUGUGGUCUGUGAGCAGGCUGGCAAUGGGAGGGCUCCCCCUCACAGAAACCCCCAGAGCACAAUCUUGAGAAACACAUGGCGAGGCAGCCAGGCAUGGGGAUUUUCCAGUCUGCCCUUCCCCACCCUGCCUGUGACAACUCAGCUCAUGCAUCAGGCAACAAAUCCCAUUCAUGAAGCUGUCAGUGAUUCCUGAAUCCAUUGAGAGCCUCGGAACCCAUCUUGCCAAGGUUCAACAGUGGGUUAAUCCCAGCUCACCUAAAUUAUUGUUUCCUGAACACAAAGGAACAUGAAAUUCUGUGCUGGGGCUGUAUGUCAGCACAGUUAAGUAGAAAUAUAUCCGACCUCAAAUGAGAGGGAAUAUAUGACUAUAUGAGCACCUGGGGAGCUGUGCUUCUCCCUCCAGCCCAAGGCUUCCUUUUACUGCUACCCCCAGGGCAUCCAGAGGCAGAGAUGGGACCACAAAAACCUGUUCUGUAAACAACUGAAUCUCAGAAGGGUCAGUUUUAUUUUUUUCAUGCUCCCCUUUUAAAAUCCACAACUGUAGGAUGUAUGCUAUCUUCCUCUUCUACCAUGGAGACAGCCACCAGUAGGGUAGGGUGAGGAGGGAGGACGUUCCUGUAUUCGGGCCAUCAAUUUAGAAAGCACAUGAGGUUACAGUGUCACUUCAUGAGGCACAACUCUGCAAGGACCAGUUCCAUAGCACAGUGAGAUUAAUUUGCAUAUUAUAAUCUGUGCAUAAUCUUUACCUGCAGUAAUUACAGUCCAUAGGCUCUAGACAUAAAGAAACAUGCAUUUUAUAAUAGUACUGGAUUAAUUAAAAAAAACUCAGGAGUUAACAUUUAGCUCACAAAUUGGAGAAAAUAUUAAAUUCACUGAGAAAUAGGCACACCAUAAGGCUGUAAAAUGGUCCAUUAUAAUCUCACUUUUACAGAAAAAUCAUCUGUAAUGUGAGAGUGCCGAGUGCAAGACCUCAGCAUAAAUCUACAAAAGAAACGCUACUCUUCCAGACUCAGAAGGAGAGAAGGGAAUAAAAAUCACAUCAGCAAUGUAUAUUGCUCCCAGAUUACAAAAUUAGGUUUUAUAGGGAAAAAUUCAGCCUGUAGUAAUGGUCAGUAAAAAUGACCAGUUUUAUAGAACAGGAACUUGUAGAGAUAAAGGGGAAAAGGCAGCAGGAAAAAAAUUAAAGACUUCCACAGAAACCUGUCCAGAAAUAGAAAUUCAAAGGACUUCCUGCUCUUUAAUAGAAUAAGCUCAGUUGAGAUGAAGUAAAAUUAUGGAUGAAGCAAGGCACGUUAUUUGACCAAACUAAGAUUUUUUUUUUAAUAGUCAUUCAAGAAAGAGCAAAAACCACUACAAUUAUCUACCAUGGAUAGAGGUUGUUCAGAGCUGGUAAAGUAAUUGAAACUGUGGCCACUCACUAAGCGCAGUGGCUCAUGUCUAUAAUGCCAGCACUUUGGGAGGCUGAGGUGAACAGAUCACCUGAGCCCAGGAGUUCAAGACCAGCCUGGCCAAAAUGGUGAAACUCCAUCUCUACAAAAAUACAAAAAUUAGCUGAGUGUGUGGUGUACACCUGUAAUCCCAGCUACUCUGGAGGCUGAGGCACUAGAGUCAUUUGAACCCAGGAGGCAAAAGUUGCAGUGAGCCUUGAUUGCAUCAGCCUGGGAAACAGAGCAAGACUCCAUCUCAAAAAACGAACAAAAAACCUGUUGCCAGAAGCUCACCAUCUUGCAUGCUAUGAUUCGUAGCAAUGGGUAGGCGCAGCUAAAUAUAGCUAAGGCUGUAUUUCAAGACUUCAACUUAAAACAUAUGAUAAUAAAUGGACUAAGCCAGUAAAGUUUUAUAAGUGUAAACCUAAGAAUAUAUUCUUUAAUGGCUGCUAUGAAAUAUGCUGGAAUCGGGCCAGGAUAUUAACACACAUUCUGGCCAACACAUCAGGCUUUUGGUUAUUUGAGAAAAGCAAUAGAGGCAGGGAGCUCCCCAUCGGAGCUGUCCUCGCUGCAUUCACACCCACAGUCAUGAAUGAAUGAUCACUGUGAACCCAGCAUGGCACCUAAUGCUCCAGACACAGAGAUGGGAAGUUUCUUAAGAUGCUCACCAUUAGCUACCAAAAAAUGUUUUAAAAACAUCAAUCGCAAUGUGUAAUAGGAGGCUGCAAGGGAAAGCAGGAUUGGGAAUGACUUCUAUAAGAGGCUGAAAAGUCUCUUUGCAUCAAAGAAUGAACCCAGGAGACCAAAGUUGCAGUGAGCCUUGAUUGCACCAGCCUGGGCAAUAGAGCGAGACUCCCAUCUCAAAAAAAAAAAAAAAAAAAAAAAAAAAAAAAAAAAAACCUGUUGCCAGAAGCUCAUCAUCUUGCAUGCUAUGGUUUGUACCAAUGGGUAGGUGCAGCUAUCUAGGUACCUAUGUGCUCUCCAGUUUGCUACCGUGCCCACCUAUCUUCCUGCAAAAGGUAGAAAUAAAUAGCUAACUGACUACAACCCAAACACUAGGAAAGAGGGAGUCAUUUCAUUUUACCAAGGGUGGGAUAAGGUGGUGCCAAGCAUUUGUUGAAAGCAUUUGGCUUGAUGACACCACUUCCAACCUCACUCCACCCCUAUAUUAUUGGCUGUGUGGCCAAGCUAUGGCUCUUAGGACAAAAUCAGAAAUCUAGUUUUAUUUUGUUUUAGGGGGUCUGGGAUUGGGAGCUUCAUUGAAAGUUUUUUGUGAUGUAAAAAGAAUGACUUUACCCAUAAUCCCCAUGUUUCAAAGGAAGAAAAAAAAAAGAAUGACGUACCUGCCGCAAACCCUCCCUGCAGUCACUCUCCCCCCCCCAACCCCCAUCUUUUUUCUUUUUCUCUCUUUUUGGCUUAUAUGGAGACAUGAGCAGGAGCCAUGGCAGCUAUCUUGCAACCACAAGUAAAAGGCUAAGGAAACUGCAGAAAUAACCCUGGCAUCAGAAUGUCUGCAUUCUAAAGUCACAGUAACCCUGACUGCUAAGCCAACACCAGUACCUGCCACCUCUUGAUGUCUUGUUACAUAGAAAAGAAUCUUCCCAGAUGUGUUUAGACCACAGUGGUUGGUGCAGCCAAAUGCAUUCCUCAGUGACACAUUUUCUAAGGAGUCUAUCUCAUGCUUUAACUCCACGAGUCAAAUGUUUACAGCGGUCCCUUACUGAUGAUGAAGUCCAAACUCUUUUGACUUUGUAGUUAGUCUGACUUCUCCCUUCC